RNAcentral lists this long non-coding RNA (1406 nucleotides) under Solanum lycopersicum (tomato). RNAcentral's name for it is "long non-coding RNA (SLYC_LNC001425)". The record is from RNAcentral. Lineage: Eukaryota; Viridiplantae; Streptophyta; Magnoliopsida; Solanales; Solanaceae.
AAAGAUUCAAACCUGUAACUUGAAGCAAUUCUUGAAACGCCCACUAAAGCUUCUCUUACGUCAAGGGGGUUCAACAAUCUAAAUAUAUAUACACAAACACAAUAGUUCUUUUACCUUAUUUGCACAGUGCAAUUUUCCGAAGAGGGGAAUUUAAGCGAGAUCAAGAAGAUUCAAUGGAAUAUCUUGAAUUUUAUAUUGAAUUGGUAGGUGGUGGUACAUGUAUCAAUUAAGUGAAUUUUUGUUCUGGUGGAUCAAUUCAAUAAAAGAAAAAAAGCUUUUCGAGUCGGUCAAAUCCCUUUCAUGGGGUUGAGGGAAGACCUUCCUGCCUUGUACUAUUGAAGUGGAUGGUUCAAACUCUAUCAGUUGUAUAGCAUCCCUUUUCCUUUCUCCUUCCCCUCACCGAUGUAAUUUAAAACCCCUUCAUUACAUUUAGCUUUACCCUGCAUACAUUUGUAUGAUAAGGGAGUGAGUACCCGGAAAUUAUUCUAAAUAAUCUAAAUAUUGGAGUAGGAAAAAGAAGCAAGACGUGUUUGUAUAGAUAGUUACACACAUCUACAAACGAAUUCAUGUAACACAGCUACUAGUAAUGGAGAUUUAUAUCUGUUUCAUGGCAUUGAAGUUUUUAUGUCAAAAUCAGGGAACCAGAAGAAAGUUGGACAUCUAUGGAAGCUACAAGGAGCAAAAGAGAGACUUCGUCUGGUGAAGGCUAAUCUAACAGAUGAAGGCAGCUUUGAUGAUGCUAUUAUGGGCUGUGAAGGUGUUUUUCAUACUGCCUCACCUGUCUUGGGGAAGGCUACUUUUGAUGUCACGGUAUCCAAAAUGUUUCCGUUUGUUUCAUUUUAUAUGACAAUAUUUGACUAAACACACUAGUCGGACAUUUCAAAACUUCUCAAAAUGAAAAGAUUACAAUAUCAAUUGAACGGAGGGAAUCACUUUCAAGUAACUAAUUGUCCAUGCUGCAGGUUGAAAUCUUGAAUCCGGCAGUUGAUGGUACCUUAAAUGUGUUAAGAUCCUGCAAGAAAAAUCCAAGACUGAGACGUGUGGUUUUGACCUCAUCUUCUUCAACAGUAAGGGUAAGAGAUGAGAUUGACCCUAACAUACCCUUGGAUGAAUCAUCUUGGAGCUCUGUUGAAUUCUGCAAAAAGUUCAAGGUAAACACAUAUAUUCUACUUACAUUCCGAUUUGAUAUCAUGGACUUGACGAGCACGAAGUUCAAAAUAUUGAUUUGACUUCUGUAAGUAAAAUAUUGAGGUGGUAAUUGAAAAGAUAGUAUCACAGAGAACAUACACCACCUUAAACUUCAAAAUUCAAAAUUUUCUUGAAUUUGGAUUCUUGAAAAUAGCAUCAACACUUAAACACUUCCCAAAAUAAGAAGAGUGAUAUCAAUUCGGAUGGUAAGUACAAAC